This 484-nucleotide ribosomal RNA is filed under the name uncultured bacterium. RNAcentral describes it as "partial 16S ribosomal RNA". It matches the Rfam family "Bacterial small subunit ribosomal RNA", at positions 30 to 507 of the family's 1533-position model. The record is from RNAcentral.
AUUGAACGCUGGCGGCAGGCCUAACACAUGCAAGUCGAGCGGAUGAAGGGAGCUUGCUCCUGGAUUCAGCGGCGGACGGGUGAGUAAUGCCUAGGAAUCUGCCUGGUAGUGGGGGAUAACGUCCGGAAACGGGCGCUAAUACCGCAUACGUCCUGAGGGAGAAAGUGGGGGAUCUUCGGACCUCACGCUAUCAGAUGAGCCUAGGUCGGAUUAGCUAGUUGGUGGGGUAAAGGCCUACUAAGGCGACGAUCCGUAACUGGUCUGAGAGGAUGAUCAGUCACACUGGAACUGAGACACGGUCCAGACUCCUACGGGAGGCAGGAGUGGGGAAUAUUGGACAAUGGGCGAAAGCCUGAUCCAGCCAUGCCGCGUGUGUGAAGAAGGUCUUCGGAUUGUAAAGCACUUUAAGUUGGGAGGAAGGGCAGUAAGUUAAUACCUUGCUGUUUUGACGUUACCAACAGAAUAAGCACCGGCUAACUUCGUG